Long non-coding RNA from Zingiber officinale, 100 nucleotides. RefSeq lists it as uncharacterized. NCBI's taxonomy places the organism in Eukaryota, Viridiplantae, Streptophyta, Magnoliopsida, Zingiberales, Zingiberaceae. The record is from RefSeq and is a predicted model, not a curated record. The transcript is spliced from 3 exons.
GAUGUAUGCAUCUAAUUUGUUGUUCAUACAUUGAGGAUUGAGCGGUUGCAGAAGUUGCAGUAUUUGAUCAUGGUUCAUACACUCAGGAAUUGGGUUCGGG